This 387-nucleotide ribosomal RNA is filed under the name uncultured bacterium. RNAcentral describes it as "bacterial SSU rRNA". It matches the Rfam family "Bacterial small subunit ribosomal RNA", at positions 30 to 417 of the family's 1533-position model. The record is from RNAcentral.
AUUGAACGCUGGCGGCAUGCCUUACACAUGCAAGUCGAACGGCAGCACGGACUUCGGUCUGGUGGCGAGUGGCGAACGGGUGAGUGAUGUAUCGGAACGUACCUUUCAGUGGGGGAUAACGUAGCGAAAGUUACGCUAAUACCGCAUAUUCUGUUAGCAGGAAAGCAGGGGAUCGCAAGACCUUGCGCUGAUUGAGCGGCCGAUAUCAGAUUAGCUAGUUGGUGAGGUAAAGGCUCACCAAGGCGACGAUCUGUAGCGGGUCUGAGAGGAUGAUCCGCCACACUGGAACUGAGACACGGUCCAGACUCCUACGGGAGGCAGCAGUGGGGAAUUUUGGACAAUGGGGGCAACCCUGAUCCAGCCAUGCCGCGUGAGUGAAGAAGGCCU